GCAAACUUGGUCAUUUAGAGGAAGUAAAAGUCGUAACAAGGUUUCCGUAGGUGAACCUGCGGAAGGAUCAUUAUUGAACAAAAUUCAAUAGACUGCUGCUGGUUCCUAUAUGGGGCAUGUGCACGUCUGUUUUAUUUUUAAUCUCCUGUGCACUAUUGGUAGAUCUUUGAUAAAAAGAAAAAAGGAAACAUCUAAUCGAUGCAAUUUCGGCCUGAGAAGCUUGUCGUGUUUUUUAAUAUAUGAAGUGCGACUUUUCUUGUGAUGUCUUUUUAUCCGAGGUUUUUACCACAUAUUUUAUUUCACCCAAGAAAAAAAAAAAAGUCGGAAUUAUUUUAAUGAAAACCAUAUGCAUAUAAUAACUUUCAACAACGGAUCUCUUGGCUCUUGCAUCGAUGAAGAACGCAGC
RNAcentral lists this unclassified non-coding RNA (406 nucleotides) under uncultured fungus. RNAcentral's name for it is "partial contains small subunit ribosomal RNA, internal transcribed spacer 1, and 5.8S ribosomal RNA". The stretch from base 1 to 73 matches the Rfam family "Eukaryotic small subunit ribosomal RNA", at positions 1759 to 1831 of the family's 1831-position model. Lineage: Eukaryota; Fungi. The record is from RNAcentral.